UACGUAUGGUGCAAGCGUUAUCCGGAUUUACUGGGUGUAAAGGGAGCGCAGGCGGCACGGCAAGCCUGAUGUGGAAGCCCGCGGCCCAACCGCGGGACUGCAUUGGGAACUACCGGGCUGGAGUGCCGGAGAGGUAGGCGGAAUUCCUAGUGUAGCGGUGAAAUGCGUAGAUAUUAGGAGGAACACCAGUGGCGAAGGCGGCCUACUGGACGGUGACUGACGCUGAGGCUCGAAAGCGUGGGGAGCAAACAGG
RNAcentral lists this ribosomal RNA (253 nucleotides) under uncultured bacterium. RNAcentral describes it as "partial 16S ribosomal RNA". It matches the Rfam family "Bacterial small subunit ribosomal RNA", at positions 524 to 776 of the family's 1533-position model. The record is from RNAcentral.